This 446-nucleotide long non-coding RNA is filed under the name Capra hircus (goat). RNAcentral's name for it is "lncRNA (ENSCHIG00000005693.1)". Lineage: Eukaryota; Metazoa; Chordata; Mammalia; Artiodactyla; Bovidae. The record is from RNAcentral.
CCCCGAGGGGCCGGCGCAGGACGCGCACACCUGGCCGCAGAGGUCCCGCGUUAUCCUUCCAGGGGUCACUGUGCCGCAGGCAGACAGAUGCCACUGUGUUGAAUUGUAUCUAUGACUGUGUUUUGAGGAUCAUUUCACAGCUUUAUGGAGAGAAGCAGAUAAUCUCAACUUGACCAAGAAGGCAGGUGCAACUUGGCAUCUAAUGGAUAACUGUUCUUCAUAGAUGAUGAUCUAUCACACAUAAAAAGGAUCCUGAACACACUGCUAUAUUUAAAAUGGACAACCGAUGAGGACCCACUAUAUAGUAAAGGAACACUGCACAAUGUUCUGUAAUAACCUAAAUGGGAAAAUGAUUUUUAAAAAAUAGAUACAUGUAUAUGUAUAAGUGAAUCACUUUGUUGUACACUUAAAAACUAACACAACACUGCUAAUCAACUAUACUCCAA